CAGGGAUUGCCUCAGUAACGGCGAGUGAAGCGGCAACAGCUCAAAUUUGAAAUCUGGCUUCGGUCCGAGUUGUAAUUUGUAGAGGAUGCUUCGGCUUACGUACCGGUCUAAGUUCCUUGGAACAGGACGUCACAGAGGGUGAGAAUCCCGUUUGUGGCCGGCACUUCCGCCAUGUGAAGCUCCUUCGACGAGUCGAGUUGUUUGGGAAUGCAGCUCUAAAUGGGAGGUAAAUUUCUUCUAAAGCUAAAUACCGGCCAGAGACCGAUAGCGCACAAGUAGAGUGAUCGAAAGAUGAAAAGCACUUUGGAAAGAGAGUUAAAAAGUACGUGAAAUUGUUGAAAGGGAAGCGCUUGCGACCAGACUUGCCCGCGGAUGCUCAACCGGUCCUUCGGCCGGUGCACUCUUCCGCGGUCAGGCCAGCAUCAGUUCGGGCGGUCGGAUAAAGGCCUUGGGAAUGUGGCUCUCUUCGGGGAGUGUUAUAGCCCUUGGUGCAAUACGGCCCGCCUGGACUGAGGCCCGCGCUUCGGCUAGGAUGCUGGCGUAAUGGUCGUAA
This 553-nucleotide ribosomal RNA is filed under the name Helicosporium panachaeum. RNAcentral describes it as "eukaryotic LSU rRNA". It matches the Rfam family "Eukaryotic large subunit ribosomal RNA", at positions 69 to 643 of the family's 3401-position model. Lineage: Eukaryota; Fungi; Ascomycota; Dothideomycetes; Tubeufiales; Tubeufiaceae. The record is from RNAcentral.